ACACAUGCAGUCGAACGGUGAAGGCGGAGCUUGCUCUGCUGGAUCAGUGGCGAACGGGUGAGUAACACGUGAGCAAUCUGCCCCUGACUCUGGGAUAAGCGCUGGAAACGGCGUCUAAUACUGGAUACGAGCUGCGAAGGCAUCUUCAGCAGCUGGAAAGAACUUCGGUCAGGGAUGAGCUCGCGGCCUAUCAGCUUGUUGGUGAGGUAAUGGCUCACCAAGGCGUCGACGGGUAGCCGGCCUGAGAGGGUGACCGGCCACACUGGGACUGAGACACGGCCCAGACUCCUACGGGAGGCAGCAGUGGGGAAUAUUGCACAAUGGGCGCAAGCCUGAUGCAGCAACGCCGCGUGAGGGACGACGGCCUUCGGGUUGUAAACCUCUUUUAGCAGGGAAGAAGCGAAAGUGACGGUACCUGCAGAAAAAGCGCCGGCUAACUACGUGCCAGCAGCCGCGGUAAUACGUAGGGCGCAAGCGUUAUCCGGAAUUAUUGGGCGUAAAGAGCUCGUAGGCGGUUUGUCGCGUCUGCUGUGAAAUCCCGAGGCUCAACCUCGGGUCUGCAGUGGGUACGGGCAGACUAGAGUGCGGUAGGGGAGAUUGGAAUUCCUGGUGUAGCGGUGGAAUGCGCAGAUAUCAGGAGGAACACCGAUGGCGAAGGCAGAUCUCUGGGCCGUAACUGACGCUGAGGAGCGAAAGGGUGGGGAGCAAACAGGCUUAGAUACCCUGGUAGUCCACCCCGUAAACGUUGGGAACUAGUUGUGGGGUCCAUUCCACGGAUUCCGUGACGCAGCUAACGCAUUAAGUUCCCCGCCUGGGGAGUACGGCCGCAAGGCUAAAACUCAAAGGAAUUGACGGGGACCCGCACAAGCGGCGGAGCAUGCGGAUUAAUUCGAUGCAACGCGAAGAACCUUACCAAGGCUUGACAUAUACGAGAACGGGCCAGAAAUGGUCAACUCUUUGGACACUCGUAAACAGGUGGUGCAUGGGUNGUCGUCAGCUCGUGUCGUGAGAUGUUGGGUUAAGUUCCGCAACGAGCGCAACCCCUCAUUCUAU
RNAcentral lists this ribosomal RNA (1053 nucleotides) under Microbacterium sp. RNAcentral describes it as "bacterial SSU rRNA". It matches the Rfam family "Bacterial small subunit ribosomal RNA", at positions 51 to 1114 of the family's 1533-position model. The record is from RNAcentral. Lineage: Bacteria; Bacillati; Actinomycetota; Actinomycetes; Micrococcales; Microbacteriaceae.